GUCACUUACAGAUGGACCCGCGGCGCAUUAGCUAGUUGGUGGGGUAAUGGCUCACCAAGGCGACGAUGCGUANCCNACCUGAGAGGGUGAUCGGCCACACUGGGACUGAGAGACGAAAGUCUGACGGAGCAACGCCGCGUGAGUGAUGAAGGUUUUCGGAUCGUAAAGCUCUGUUGUUAGGGAAGAACAAGUGCGAGAGUAACUGCUCGCACCUUGACGGUACCUAACCAGAAAGCCACGGCUAACUACGUGCCAGCAGCCGCGGUAAUACGUAGGUGGCAAGCGUUGGAUCGUAAAGCUCUGUUGUUAGGGAAGAACAAGUGCGAGAGUAACUGCUCGCACCUUGACGGUACCUAACCAGAAAGCCACGGCUAACUACGUGCCAGCAGCCGCGGUAAUACGUAGGUGGCAAGCGUUGUCCGGAAUUAUUGGGCGUAAAGGGCUCGCANGCGGUUUCUUAAGUCUGAUGUGAAAGCCCCCGGCUCAACCGGGGGGGUCAUUGGAAACUGGGAAACUUGAGUGCAGAAGAGGAGAGUGNAAUNCCACGUGUAGCGGUGAAAUGCGUAGAGAUGUGGAGGAACACCAGUGGCGANGNGACUCUCNNGUCUGUAACUGACGCUGAGGAGCGAAAGCGUGGGGAGCGACAGGAUUANAUNCCCUGGUAGUCCACNCGUAAACGAUGAGUGNUANUGUUGGGGGUUCCGCCCUUAUGCUGCANCUAACGCAUUAGCACUCGCUGUGUCCAUGGCCCACGNGGGUAAAAUGNUUAGGUGUGUUUCUCCCCCCCUCCCGCCCGCCNCGGGGGUCCACNANGAAGGGUAAACNAAUUGCAGAUAUGGUUGGGGNAAGUUAGGGUUAAAGAGGANAGGACUUGGUUUGUUGCUUUAAUNANCCGGGCGGGACGCCCUUCUUUGUUUUCCCCCCGCCCGAGGUUAUUGCUUAAUGCUUGGGCUAA
Molecule: ribosomal RNA, 955 nt
Filed under: uncultured Bacillus sp.
Lineage: Bacteria; Bacillati; Bacillota; Bacilli; Caryophanales; Bacillaceae
Description: partial 16S ribosomal RNA
Rfam family: Bacterial small subunit ribosomal RNA (bases 1-738)
Source: RNAcentral